RNAcentral lists this unclassified non-coding RNA (151 nucleotides) under uncultured fungus. RNAcentral describes it as "sequence contains ITS1, 5.8S rRNA gene". The record is from RNAcentral. Lineage: Eukaryota; Fungi.
CAGAGUCGUAAAAAAACUCCAAACCCACUGUGAAUCUACCUAUUAGUUUCUUUGGCAGGCGGUCCCAGGGCGGGGCCGUAGCCGCGAGGCGCCUGCCAAUGGACAACAUACUAUAUCUUUAGCGGUCUUCUGAGUACUAUAACAAUAAUUA